AUGCUGUGGUACCUCGCCGAGCGCUCGGGCACCAUCCUCCGCCCGUGCACCCGGCGCGCCGUGGGCGCCCAGGCGCUCCACGCGGUGCGCGCCGUGGCCAUCGGCCCGUUCCACCGCGGCGACCGUGGCGUCCCCUUCCCCGACGACGCCAAGCUCCCGUUCAUGCGGUACCUGCAGGAGCAGUGCGGGCUCGAUGUCGACGCCUACGUGGCGGCGCUGUCGGCCGAGCGCGACCGCCUCCGCGACGAGUUCGCCGACGACGACGCGGACGCGGGGGCGGAUGACAAGGUGCUGCUGGACGACGAGGACAAGUUCCUGCAGAUGCUGCUCCUGGACAGUUGCUUCGUCCUCGUCGUGAGCAUGAUGCUCAGCAAGACCGGCGUCGGCGAGGACGCCGACAGCGCGGCGCGGGCGGCGUCCAUCAACAGGGAGUACUUCAUUCUCCACAUGGCCGUGGCGCAGCACGCCGAGCAGAUCAAGCUCGACAUGCUGGUGCUCGAGAACCAGGUCCCCUUCGCCGCCGUCAAGCUGCUCGUCGCCUCCUGCGGCAGGCUGAUCCUCCGCCACUCCGUCGAGGAGGUGGUGCUCGGCUGCUUCGACGACGUCUGCCCGAAGCGGGCGUGCCUCGCCCGCGACGCGGCGGGCGCGGAGUUCCACCACGUCCUGCACCUCUUCCACUGGUCCCGCGUGCCGGCUAACAAGUACUGCAUCCUCUCGACGCCACUGAAGCUCCUCAAGAUCAAGAAGGAGUCGGAGCGGCUGUUCCCCUGCUCCGUGGAGCUGCGGCACUCGGCGGUGUGGUUCCGGCAGGCUGCGGCGUCGACCUGCCAAGGCGACCUUGACAUGUCGUUCUGGAGCCGGCCGGCGAGCCCCGUGGCGGUGAUGAGCAUCCCGUGCUUCCACGUCCACGAGUACAGCGCGGCGGUGCUGUACAACAUGCUGGCCUUCGAGAUGCGGUUCCACUGGGCGCACGGCGCAUGCGUGACGACGCACGUCGCCCGGAUGGAGGGACUCGUGCGGUGCCCGCAGGACGCGACGUUUCUGCGCCGGCGAGGUGUCCUUUCCGCCACGCGGCUGACGGACGCGGAGCUCGUCUACUUCUUCCGGGAGCUCGGGGCGCAGACAGUCGGCGCGAGGCUGCCGGAUGAGUUCGGCGAGAUGGUCGACGCGGUAGCGUGCCACCGGAGGCGGCGGGUGAGCUGGUGGUGCGGCGGGUUCGUGCUGCACUUCUUCCCGUCGCCGUGGGUGGCCGUCUCGCUUCUCGCGGCGGCCGCAAUUUUCGUCGUGCCGUCCAUGCUGCAGACGGAUUUCCGGCGAUGCGUUUUUAGUGGGAAAAGACGUUCCCGUCGACGACGAGGGGUUGCGCGUCCGCUACCGCGGUCGGACGCCAGACGGACCACACCGCCUCCGAUGAGGCAGCGAUGGCACAACUAG
RNAcentral lists this ribosomal RNA (1434 nucleotides) under Triticum aestivum (bread wheat). Its description in RNAcentral is "partial small subunit ribosomal RNA". The record is from RNAcentral. Lineage: Eukaryota; Viridiplantae; Streptophyta; Magnoliopsida; Poales; Poaceae.